GCUUCUCUAACCAUCAUCUGUUUAACUUUAACCCCAGAUGAGUAGCUUCUCCGAGUUAAAGUAGGUGCCCCAAAAAUUAAAUGUGUUAAGAUUCUGAUAGAGACUUUAGGCUUUGCAAUCCUCAGCAUCAUCUCCUCUUCCAACUACUACUUUCUCUGUAUGAGUAUAUGUAAUUAUCAGUUUCGUUCCACAACAACAGAAUACUUGACCAUCAUCGAUUUGCU
Molecule: unclassified non-coding RNA, 224 nt
Filed under: Hevea brasiliensis (rubber tree)
Lineage: Eukaryota; Viridiplantae; Streptophyta; Magnoliopsida; Malpighiales; Euphorbiaceae
Source: RNAcentral